This 253-nucleotide ribosomal RNA is filed under the name uncultured bacterium. Its description in RNAcentral is "partial 16S ribosomal RNA". It matches the Rfam family "Bacterial small subunit ribosomal RNA", at positions 524 to 776 of the family's 1533-position model. The record is from RNAcentral.
UACGGGGGGGGCAAGCGUUGUUCGGAAUUACUGGGCGUAAAGGGCUCGUAGGCGGCCAACUAAGUCAGACGUGAAAUCCCCAGGCUCAACCUGGGAACUGCGUCUGAUACUGGUUGGCUUGAAUCCGGGAGAGGGAUGCAGAAUUCCAGGUGUAGCGGUGAAAUGCGUAGAUAUCUGGAGGAACACCGGUGGCGAAGGCGGCAUUCUGGACCGAUAUUGACGCUGAGGAGCGAAAGCCAGGGGAGCAAACGGG